This is a long non-coding RNA of Oxyura jamaicensis (ruddy duck), 542 nucleotides long. RefSeq lists it as uncharacterized. The record is from RefSeq and is a predicted model, not a curated record. Lineage: Eukaryota; Metazoa; Chordata; Aves; Anseriformes; Anatidae. The transcript has 4 exons.
AGAGGAUUUCUGUUCAGCUUAAGUUCAGCUGUAGUAGGUCCGCGUCAUUCAACCCAUUAAACUGUCCUCCUGUGGUAUUGGGUAUUUUGAGAAGCUCUGAAUCUAUUUGAUAGUCAGGUGACAUCCUGGACUGAAAACUGUAGACCAGUUACAGAACACUGCUAGUGAAUAUCUUUUAGGUAAGAAGCAGAGAUGAUGCCUCAGACUGACAGUGUCAGGAGAAGCAAAGAAUACAAGAGGAGGCAUAGGUAUGGAGGAAUCAUGAACACUGCCAAAACAGAUGCACAGUGAAAUAUUAUCAUAAAGGUAACGGAAGUAAGGAGAAAUGUAAAGGCUGCACUAGUACUGUGAUGCCCAUAGAGGGUAGAAAUCUGGAGCUCUACUCCUGACAGCAAGCAGGAGGCACAGUGGGCAGAAGGGAUUGGACUUGUAGCAGCCCUGUACACAGAGGUGAGUAAGUAGAUGGCUGGAGAGGACUGGCACAACCGUACCUAGCUGUGAGUAAAGAAGGCUGAAGUAAGAUCCUGGUGUUUGUUUGAACU